Long non-coding RNA from Sus scrofa (pig), 2978 nucleotides. RefSeq lists it as uncharacterized. The record is from RefSeq and is a predicted model, not a curated record. NCBI's taxonomy places the organism in Eukaryota, Metazoa, Chordata, Mammalia, Artiodactyla, Suidae.
GACCUACACCACAACUCAUAGCAAUGCCAGAUCAUCAACCCACUGAGCAAGGCCAGGGAUUGAACCUGCAACCUCAUAGUUCAUAGUCGGAUUCGUUAACUGCUGAGCCACGACGGGAACGCCACAGUAGAAUUUUCUUUCAUGUAACAUGUAAUUGCUGUCCCUGCCCCCCCACCCCAUUUCUCUAUGGUUAAAUUCUAGUUUCAUGAGUUCUAGUUUCAUGUUGUGGUCAGAAAAAAUGCUUAAAAUAAUUUAUAUCCUUUAGUUUGUUGAGGCUUAUUUCGUGUUCUACUAUGUGGUCAAUCUGAAUGUUUGAUGUGCACGUGAAAAGAAUAUGUAUUUUUUUGUUUUGAUUGUAAUGCCCUGAAAAUAUCAAUUAACUGACCUAUUGUAUAAUUUAGGAUCUCUGUUACUUUACUGAUUUUUCUGCCUGGAAGAUCUAUCCAUUGAUGUGAGUUGUGUGUUAAAGUCUCCUACUAUUACCAUAUUCCUGUCAGUUUCUCUCUUUAUGGCUGUUAAUAUUUGUUAAUACUCUACUAAGCAAUAUAAUUAUUUAGGAGACAUAAAGAAUUUAUCACAUAAGCAAAAACUAAAAAAUACAGCAAUACUAAAACUAUCCUAAAAGAAAUACUGAAAGGUCUUCUCUAAAUAGAAAAGAAGGAAUCUAUAGGAAACAGAAAAUCAGUUGGAAAAUAAAUCACUUAAAUAAGUCACAGAUAUUUUUUAAAUGAAACUUUUUUUAUGAAAGCAGUGAUGACAACAACGAACAGCAAAAGGAUAAACAUGUAGAAAAGAUUAAAUCAAAAUCAUAAAGUGUGGGGGAGGAGAGUAAGAAAAUGUAGGCUUAAUACAUUCUAAAAAAAAAAUUUAGGAGGUUCCUGCCUGGCACAACAAGCAUCCGGCCUUGCCACAGUUUUGGUGCAGGCUGCAACUGUGGCAUGAGUUCAAUCCCUGGCCUGGGAAUUUUUACAUGCUGUUGCAGCCCCCUCCCAACAAAAAAACAACCAUAUGAUUACCAGUAUAAAGCACAUAUACAAUGGGUUAACACAUUUGAAAAACAUGGUAACCGCAAAUGAAAACUUACAACAGAAAAAAAAAAAAAACAAGAGAACACAAAAACCAAAAAGAAAAGAACACAAGCACAAUACAAAAGAAAACAAUCAAGUCACAAAAGGAAAGACAAAAGGAAACAAAGAAGACAUACAAAAAUCAACUAGAAAAUGUUUUAAAGUAGCAAUAAAUACAAAUCUGUCAAUUACCAUAAAUGUCAACGGACUAAAUGUGCCAAUCAAGAGUGGCAGAUUGGAUAAAUAAAACAAGGACCUAAAAUGUGCUGCCUACAAGAGACCCUCUUUAGGGCAAAGGACAUGCAUUAGAUUGAAAUUGAAGGCAUGGGAAAAGAUACUUCAGUCGUGGAAAAAGAUAUUUCAUGCAAACAAAAAUGAAAAAAUGGGGUUAUCAAUGUUCAUAUUAGACAAAAUAGACUUUAAAGGCCAGAAAGCUGAUAAAGGAUACUAUAUAAUAAAAGGAUUAAUAUAAAAAGAGGCUAUUAUGGUCAUUAACAUAUAUGCACCCCACCAUAGAAGCACCUAAACACCAGAAAAAAUAUUCUAAGAAAUGCCACUUUUUUGGCAGUGGCAUUGGAAUCCCAGAAAGCAAGUAACCUGAAGAGAGGUGAGGGGAAGGAACUACUGGGGAAGGGACAAUGAAUUACCGUAGGAAGGAAGGACUUUGGAGAAAAGACAGCCUCACAGAGGAGCUUCUAGUCCUUUUAUUAACAGGACCUUGACCCAAUGACUUACCAGACAAAACAAACUGACCUAGUUAUGAAAAAGCUGCAGUAAAAAAUCAAACACUUUGACCUGAUAGAAAGUAGAAUUCUUAGGGCUAAGAAGUAAAAACAAAAACAACUGCCAGAUACAGAAUCAAACUUUUAUUUUUAAUGAAUAAGUCACAAAAGGAAAGACAAAAAAUAAGUCACAAAAGGAAAGACAAGGAUCCGGCUUUGCCACAGUUUUGGUUCAGGCUGCAACUGUGGCAUGAGUUCAAUCCCUGGCCUGUGAAUUAAAGGCAUUAGCCUUUAAUAUGAUAAACAUCUACAAUACUGGAGAUAUUUUCAAUUCUAAAAUGAAAAAACAAAAUUGUGUUUUUCUUUCUUGGUUUACCUUGAAUUGAGAAAAAAAUAUUGGUUUCGUUUUUUCACUAAGAUGUAAAAUGUUAUAUUUUCCUAUUGUGAUGUUCAGUAAAAGUUUACCUUUGAACCCUUUAAAGGCAAAGUAUUUUAUUUUAUUCUGUUUAAUAGUCCUCAAAAUUCUUCAGUGGAUAAAAUACCUGCAGAAUAAUUUUUAAAUUUUUUAUUUUUUAAAUUUUAAUGAAGUAUUGUUGACUUCUACCCAUUCUUUUUCAGAUUCUUUUCCAUAUCACAGAAUAAUGAGUUCCCUGUGGUAUAUAGCAGGUCCCUGCUGACCAUCCACUUCAUAUGCAAUAGUGCAGUCCUACUAAAGGAAUGGAAGAAAUGCCAAAAUAAUGGAACCAGCCCCCUCUACCCGGGCAGGUGGAGGAAAGCCUGACCCUUCAUUUCCAACACUGGCUUUAAGCAAAGAAAAUCUUCAGCAGAAACCACAGCACCCACGGUGUUCAUCUUCCCAGUGACAACAAACAGGGCGGAGACAGGGCGUAAGACACCGAGGGCCACCAAGGGGGCCUUCCACCUCCUGGCCCAGCCCAAGUGUCCCCAGGCCCCUAGAAUGGUCUCAUAUUCCUAGAAUAUGGAAGGUGCAGGGUCGUCAGCCAUGAUGCGGCCUGGCCCCUGCCUGGUGCCUACAGGGAGGGGACCACAGUGCUGUGCGUCCCACCCCAGCUGCUCUGCCCCAUCUCUGGUUUCAUCCUGUCCUGCUCUGAGGUUACUAGGCCAGGGGUGGCAGUAUUGCCUCCUGCUGGGGGAGAGCCACUGACCCCUGGACUUCCUCAGAGGUGCA